GUGGGGAAUAUUGGGCAAUGGGCGCAAGCCUGACCCAGCAACGCCGCGUGAAGGAAGAAGGCUUUCGGGUUGUAAACUUCUUUUACCAGGGACGAAAAAAAUGACGGUACCUGGAGAAUAAGCCACGGCUAACUACGUGCCAGCAGCCGCGGUAAUACGUAGGUGGCAAGCGUUGUCCGGAUUUACUGGGUGUAAAGGGCGCGUAGUCGGGAGAGCAAGUCAGGAGUGAAAUCUAUGGGCUUAACCCAUAAAUUGCUUUUGAAACUGUUUUUCUUGAGAGAUGGAGAGGCAAGCGGAAUUCCUAGUGUAGCGGUGAAAUGCGUAGAUAUUAGGAGGAACACCAGUGGCGAAGGCGGCUUGCUGGACAUUAACUGACGCUGAUGCGCGAAAGCGUGGGGAGCAAACAGGAUUAGAUACCCGGGUAGUCC
This 428-nucleotide ribosomal RNA is filed under the name uncultured bacterium. RNAcentral's name for it is "partial 16S ribosomal RNA". It matches the Rfam family "Bacterial small subunit ribosomal RNA", at positions 354 to 796 of the family's 1533-position model. The record is from RNAcentral.